AGGGAAUCUUCCGCAAUGGACGAAAGUCUGACGGCAGCACUGCCGCGUGAGUGAUGAAGUUCUUCGGAUCGUAAACUCUGUUGUCAGGGACGAUCAAUGUAUGGGAGUAACUGCCCGUACCUUGACGGUACCUGGCCAGAAAGCCACGGCUUACUACGUGCCAGCAGCCGCGGUAAUACGUAGGUGGCAAGC
This 192-nucleotide ribosomal RNA is filed under the name uncultured Bacillus sp. RNAcentral's name for it is "partial 16S ribosomal RNA". It matches the Rfam family "Bacterial small subunit ribosomal RNA", at positions 356 to 539 of the family's 1533-position model. Lineage: Bacteria; Bacillati; Bacillota; Bacilli; Caryophanales; Bacillaceae. The record is from RNAcentral.